CAUGACCUGAGCCAAAAUGAAAAGUCAGACACUCAACCAACUGAGCCACUCAGGUGCCCCAAGAUAGUCAUUCUCUUGGUUAGUUUACAUUAUAGGACAAAGGUGUUGGAAUAGUUGUUCUAGUGGUCGUGUUGCCUUUGUAAGACUCCACUGUAGCCAACUUGAGGAAGAUUCUCCUGCUGGCUGUGAAGAAGAUGCUCUGUUGUGAAAGUGCCAUGAGCUAGACCCUGAAGGCAGCUUCUAGGAGCUGAGAGUGAUCCCAGUUGACAGCCAGCAAGAAAACAAGGACCUGAGUUCUGCGACCAUAGGCUCUGAAUUCUGCCAACCGCCUGAAUGAGGAUGGAAGAGGAUUCUGAGACUCCGAUAAGAUCCCAGCCCCAGCAGACAACUUGAUUUCAGUCCAAUGAGACCCUGAGGACAGGGCCUAACUGACAGUGAAUCUCCCUUCCCUAUGGAAGCACAUAUGUGUGAACUACCACCUGCUGUUUUUUGUGACAACUUUUGUAUGCUGCGUUAAGCCCGCUUGACUGAAUCCUCAAUAGCCCACAGCCUGGUCUUGUUCGUGGCCCAGAAGAAAUAUUAGAGUGUACAGAAAAAAAAUAGGAAAGUAUGGAGACUAAAGAUCAUCCAUAAUCUCCAAAUGCAAAGACUGAUUCAUUCAUUCAUUCUGUCAAUGUUCACUACAAAAGACCACCAGGAACACAGCUGGAAUUGAGAUCACUCUGGCUGUGGGAGGACAGCAGGCGAGAAGCGUGAUAUAAGGCAGGAGACCAACUAAAAUACAAUUUUAUUAGUCCAGUUCUGGAGGCUGGGAAGUCCAAGAUCAAGGUGCUGGCUGAUUCAGUUCCUGAUGAGGAUGCUUUUACUUACUUGCUGUCUUCUUGCUGUGUUCUUAUAUUUGAGUACCUAGCGCAGUGCCUGAAAAAUAGAAGGAACUUAAAAGUAUGCUGCUGAAUGGAAGACUAAAUGAAUGGAGGGAACAGUCAACUGGUGGUGUUGGAAGUACAGAAGAUAAUAGGAUGGUACAAGUUCAGGAAGAUUUUCUUAGAGUUGUUUAACUCUGCUUCAGCAAAAUUCUACUUCAACAAAACUCUUAGAAGAAUGAAGGCUUGAGUUGCCAAAGCCCAAACUUGAGGACUGGCUAUCCCUCUAUGUUUCCAUCAGGCUCUGCAUUUAGUUACAGAUGGAAGUUGGUUGUCUUAUCUCCAACAAAGACUGCAAGAGUGGGAUGUGUCCUUCUGGCUCUUUGUAAUCAGGCUUUUUGUGACUGGGGAUGCUGGUUGCCCAUAUGACAUUAAAAUUUUUUCAGUCUCUGUACUGGGGGUAAAAAUAUGAGCAGAAUUUGAAUUUGAAAAUUACUUCUUCCUACAUUGAGUGGUGUGAUGGUGUAUGUUCUUCUACAAUAGACACUCGCUCAACACUGUAUAUUUGAAAUAACUCCCUUCUGGAGGAAGGUAGAGAAGAAGUGUGUGGAAGUUAUAUAUCUUUGACAGAAACCACACUCUCCCUACACUGAGGAGAGUCCACUGGUACCUAAGCAUUGAUCUCGAGUACUCCACACACCAGUUGGGCAGGGUUUUUAGGAACCACAAACCCAUUAACAUUCCCUGAUCCAACUUUUGAAAACAAACGAAA
This is a long non-coding RNA of Lynx canadensis (Canada lynx), 1635 nucleotides long. RefSeq lists it as uncharacterized. NCBI's taxonomy places the organism in Eukaryota, Metazoa, Chordata, Mammalia, Carnivora, Felidae. The transcript has 6 exons. The record is from RefSeq and is a predicted model, not a curated record.